GACGAACGCUGGCGGCUUGCUUAACACAUGCAAGUCGAACGGAAGGGCCCUGCUUUUGUGGGGUGCUCGAGUGGCGAACGGGUGAGUAACACGUGAGUAACCUGCCCUUGACUUUGGGAUAACUUCAGGAAACUGGGGCUAAUACCGGAUAGGAGCUCCUGCUGCAUGGUGGGGGUUGGAAAGUUUCGGCGGUUGGGGAUGGACUGGCGGCUAAUCAGCUUGUUGGUGGGGUAGUGGCUUACCAAGGCUUUGACGGGUAGCCGGGCUGAGAGGGUGACCGGCGACGUUGGGGGUGAGCUGCGGCCCAGACUCCUACGGGAGGCAGCAGUGGGGAAUAUUGCACAAUGGGCGGAAGCCUGAUGCAGCAACGCCGCGUGCGGGAUGACGGCAUUCGGGUUGUAAACCGCUUUCGCAUGUGACGAAGCGGGAGUGACGGUAAUGGGUAAAGAAGCACCGGCUAACUAAGUG
This 468-nucleotide ribosomal RNA is filed under the name uncultured bacterium. RNAcentral's name for it is "partial 16S ribosomal RNA". It matches the Rfam family "Bacterial small subunit ribosomal RNA", at positions 28 to 507 of the family's 1533-position model. The record is from RNAcentral.